CUUUCUGUUGGCACACAGCUGUCAUCAGUUUUGGGGUUGGGGAAAAAAAGAACUAAAAUUAUCAUCAUAACCUUGAAUUAUCAUUACCUGUGUUAUAGGUAGCUUCUCUGCCUAUAAGAACAGAGAACCCCUAUGCCUCUUAUACUACCAGAAUUCUUUCAAUUAUGGAGAUUUAGGAAAGCAUAUUUCAAGUUUCCUCUGAGGAGAAGGCGAACAUGUUCCUUUCUAAAAUAAUGUUCAUGGAGCCAGUACAAUUUAAUAACUCAUAAGUGCUAAAUAUUUAAAUUUGUGUAAAUUGUAGGUUAUAUGGUCAAAGCAAAUUUAGAUAUGCUUGGCUUGCUUUUAAAAUUUAUUAUUAUCCCCCUACAUUUGGACCUUCUUAUAUAUCAAACCUUUGUUUUUCUCUUAAUUGUCCUUCCUGAAUGAUUUUACUCACUAAUAGCAGUUAGUUCCUUUUCCCCAUGUUUCCACAUGUGUUCCAGGGGUAAUUUUGAUCCCUUAAUGAAUUUACUUCCGCAAAACUUAAUAUCCAUCUCCUUCCUCAAAAUGUUUCUCAAGUUCUGCCUCACUGUUGAACAAAUAGGGAUAAGACCUGUGUUUUCAUGGAUAUGAAAAAUGCAAUGGAUGAGGAAACUCUUUCUAAUGAUUCAGGCCAACACCUCAGAAACUCAUCUUCUCCAAGUGUUGCCUUGAACACUGAGAAGUUAAGUGAUUUCCCAUGGUCACACCAACAGUAAAGUGAAACUGGAAUCCACUUCUUCUUGACUGUGGGGAUGGACCUCUGUAGUCAUCUUGAAGAUAGUCAGUAUACCUGGGAGAUGUAUUUCCCAAUGAAACAGAAGGUGAAUAAGCAUCUUCCAACAUGCUUGCCUGAGUCAAUGUCAGAAAGUCAACAUUUUGGAGGUCCCACCGAGAUCCAAAGUCCCAGCUACCUGAGCCUCCCUGCUAAUAAGGACCCUGAGAGUUGGCCCAUCUUGGAUACUUUGAUGAGCAUUACCAUUCAGAGCUAUAAAGAAGUCAAAAAUAUCUUAACUAGCCUUUUUACACAAUUCUAUGUGUAUAUUUUAAAGAAGUUACCUUUUUUUAUCUUCUUUACAUUGAUUUGCCAACUGAUUUAAAUAUAAUAUGAAAAAUUCACAUAUCUUUUCAGAUACACAUGUGUAUAAAGUGUAAUUAGAAUUUCUAUACCACAGAAAUACAUACAUAUAAUUAUGUACAUAUACACAUAUUUUUAUGUGUAUAAAAUUGCUGCUCACAGACAUAAAGUUGUACAGCAGAGAAAACAAUUUCACUGUCCAUGGAAACAGAAGAGCUAGAAUUAAAUAUUUUUUCUGAUGUUACUAUUUUUGUUACCUUGGACAAAUCAGCUACUUACCUUCAGUGGGCUUCAGUUUUCUCUUUUAUAAAAUUAGGUGUUGAACUAGAUGACCUCUGACAUCCUUUCUAGCUGUACAAAGUAGGCUUCAGGUUCAGAACACUUUAUGGGAUCAUCACACAAAAUCUUCUCUAUUUAAAAUUUCAAGGAAGAUAGCUGCUUAGAUGUAGCAAAAGUCCAGACCUCUGUGAAAACCCUUCCACAUCAAUCAAAAAUGGAGUGCUUCAAGGGGGCAGAAAAUCAAAUCUAACUACAGUACAGAGCUGGGGGACCCCCUGUUUUCGAUGUAAAAGAUACACCAAAAAAUAAGCCUGGAUUCGGUGGAUUAAGGAAAAGGAAGAAGGAAAGUCUGAGACCCCUACCCUAACUAUCUUGCUGAGUUUCCAGUAGUUGCUGGAAUCAUGGGGCAAGGGCUCUAGCUUUGCUGACACAGCUGUUCCAGGCUCAGGGCACUAACCACAUUUGUCAGGGAGGCAAUUGAAGGAGAAGCUUGGAAAGGGUAACCUCCUCAAGCAGCCAGAACUCUCCUCAGAGCACAUAUAGCUCCACAGAUAAACUCUGCCCAGGCUUAAUCUUAUCAAUAGGGCAGAUAAGAAGCACUCAUAGAGUAUGGAAGCUCAAGCUCCAAUUCCCCUGCCCCACUGACUGAGCUGACCACUGCAGAAUACCUUGAUAACCGGGUGGGAAGCAUAGCUCCCUUUAGCCUCCACACCUUCACCUACACCUUCAGCUUCUGUGACUAGCUGGGGAAGAUCUGACCUCAGGGCUCAUUAAUUCUCCACCAGCCUAAUCUAGUUAAUCAGCAGACCAUAACAACCAAACUGAAAGAAAUCACAUGAUUAUCUCAAUAGAUGCAGAAAAAAACUUUGACAAAAUAAACAUUCAUUCCUAUUGAAAACA
Molecule: long non-coding RNA, 2275 nt
Filed under: Monodelphis domestica (gray short-tailed opossum)
Lineage: Eukaryota; Metazoa; Chordata; Mammalia; Didelphimorphia; Didelphidae
Description: lncRNA (ENSMODG00000036024.2)
Source: RNAcentral